Oncorhynchus kisutch (coho salmon) is the source of this 1011-nucleotide long non-coding RNA. RefSeq lists it as uncharacterized. Lineage: Eukaryota; Metazoa; Chordata; Actinopteri; Salmoniformes; Salmonidae. The transcript has 6 exons. The record is from RefSeq and is a predicted model, not a curated record.
UACGUGGCAUUGAUAUGAGUCAGAAACAUUUAUUCUAGUGUAAAAAUGGACUUCAACGUGUAAAUAGUAUAAUUUUGGUCAUAAAGUCAGUCCGGUCUAAAACGGAGUUUGGAACAGUGCAUGACAACGAGUGAAUUAAGGUUGGUAUUGAAUUAGUGCCGCACGGUUAAUCGAAUUCAGAUCGAAAUUGCGAUAUUGACAUAUGCAAUAUCCAUAUUGCGAUUUACUCCUUUCUUUGACACUCCAUUAAUACAACAUAACGCAAUGUAUGCUUCCAGCAGAAUGCACAGCCAACAACUAUGGUUUGCAUGCCCUGCCAAAAGGACCCUUAUUGCACAGUCAACAACUAUGGCCUGCCCUGCCGAAGAACCCUAUCAUGCAGAAUAAGUGGAUGGAGUUCGUUGGUUCCCAGUGGUGACAAAGUGUACAGUUGGGUGCCCUUGGUUUGAACGGAUCCUGGGACCUACAAGAAGGAACAAAGCUUGUCAGGCAAGACCUCAGAAUAAAAGUGUGUAAUGCAACAGAAGUACCCUUGUGACACUUCCUCCGUUGUUGCCAGAGUCUCCCUCGACUCCUAUGAAAAGGAGUUACUGCCCUGAUGACACAGAUGGCUUCAUCAACAACGAUAGGCCCUCCCAGUCAACAUCACCUCAUAAUAUUGCCUGCUGCAGUUGUGGAGACGUCCAGUUUGCAGCAGAACAUGCAGCAUAGAGAAGACCAGCAAGGGGGCCCUCAUCGGCCUCAUGCAGACAUGCCCUCGUUAUGAGCAUUCCUAUGAAUGGAACGGUCAGCCACAUGUUGGCAAGUAUAUGGCCAGCAACCUGCACCUGUCAGCACCAACAGCUUUCACAGGCUCCUCAUUUGUACAAAUACAGAAGUUGUGGCCAGGAGCUGAUCUACGCUGCUAUGGCCAUCAAUGGGGCUUGGGUAAAGAUCUCACCUCCAGCUUCACCUCUUGCCUGCUCACCAACUGUCGUCGAUGGGGAGACCAGAAUUGGAAACAUGUAUGGU